GACGAACGCUGGCGGCGUGCCUAACACAUGCAAGUCGAACGGGACCAGGGGCAACUCUGGUUCAGUGGCGGACGGGUGCGUAACACGUGAGGAACAUGACCUUCGGCGGGGGAUAGCCGGCCCAACGGCCGGGUAAUACCGCGUACGACCUUUCGGGGACAUCCCUGGAUGGUGAAAGCAGCAAUGCGCCGAUGGAGUGCCUCGCGGCCUAUCAGCUAGUUGGUGAGGUAACGGCUCACCAAGGCGACGACGGGUAGCUGGUCUGAGAGGAUGGCCAGCCACAUUGGGACUGAGACACGGCCCAGACUCCUACGGGAGGCAGCAGUGGGGAAUAUUGCGCAAUGGGCGAAAGCCUGACGCAGCGACGCCGCGUGAGGGAUGACGGCCUUCGGGUUGUAAACCUCUUUCAGCUCCGACGAAGCGAAAGUGACGGUAGGAGCAGAAGAAGCACCGGCCAAC
RNAcentral lists this ribosomal RNA (459 nucleotides) under uncultured bacterium. RNAcentral's name for it is "bacterial SSU rRNA". It matches the Rfam family "Bacterial small subunit ribosomal RNA", at positions 28 to 501 of the family's 1533-position model. The record is from RNAcentral.